This 416-nucleotide ribosomal RNA is filed under the name uncultured bacterium. RNAcentral describes it as "bacterial SSU rRNA". It matches the Rfam family "Bacterial small subunit ribosomal RNA", at positions 29 to 489 of the family's 1533-position model. The record is from RNAcentral.
AGCGAACGCUGGCGGCAGGCUUAACACAUGCAAGUCGAGCGGGCGUAGCAAUACGUCAGCGGCAGACGGGUGAGUAACGCGUGGGAACAUACCUUUUGGUUCGGAACAACACAGGGAAACUUGUGCUAAUACCGGAUAAGCCCUUACGGGGAAAGAUUUAUCGCCGAAAGAUUGGCCCGCGUCUGAUUAGCUAGUUGGUGAGGUAACGGCUCACCAAGGCGACGAUCAGUAGCUGGUCUGAGAGGAUGAUCAGCCACAUUGGGACUGAGACACGGCCCAAACUCCUACGGGAGGCAGCAGUGGGAAUAUUGGACAAUGGGCGCAAGCCUGAUCCAGCCAUGCCGCGUGAGUGAUGAAGGCCCUAGGGUUGUAAAGCUCUUUUAUGCGGGAAGAUAAUGACGGUACCGCAAGAAUAA